RNAcentral lists this long non-coding RNA (37053 nucleotides) under Vitis vinifera (wine grape). Its description in RNAcentral is "long non-coding RNA (VVIN_LNC001743)". Lineage: Eukaryota; Viridiplantae; Streptophyta; Magnoliopsida; Vitales; Vitaceae. The record is from RNAcentral.
GAGAUUCAGAUACCAUUGCCUAUGUCAUGAAAUCAGAGUCCACAAGAAGACAACAUAAAAUGCUAUCGAUCCAUCGCUGUUUCUCGCUUCUGUUAUAAAUUAUGGAUACAAACAUAGAUGAAGAUGAGAAGUAGAAGGAGAAGAAACAUUUAGCUUUCAAGGAGUCGUAGAGGAGAGGAGGAGACAUGGCUCAGACAUGUGGGUUCAGCUCUGGAGAUAGUAGAUGGUCUCUCAAGGGAAUGACUGCUCUUGUAACCGGUGGAACUAAAGGAAUUGGGUUGGUGUUACCUGUUUUUAUGUCUUUGGGUUUGGACUAUACCUCCCUAUAUAUAAACGUAUGUAUCAAUUCUGCAGGCAUGCAAUUGUGGAGGAACUGGCUGGAUUAGUAGCAACCAUACACACGUGUUCUCGAAAAGAAACCGAGCUCGAUGAAUGCUUAAAGGAUUGGAAAGCUAAAGGUUUUGGAGUGAGUGGUUCAGUGUGUGAUGUAUCCUCUCGGGCCCAAAGGGAGAAGCUAAUGGAGACUGUGUCUUCUGUGUUCAAUGGGAAGCUGAAUAUCCUUGUAAGUUCCUCUAGUCUCUAAGGUUCCUAUCCAUGAUAUUAAUUCCACAUACUUCGUCGAACUUCCUACAAUUUGAGUUCCCCUACUUGAUAUAUUUUAUUUAUUUAUUUUUUGGUUCCGGAUUCAGGUCAACAACGCUGCUAUUGUUAUUCAGAAACCAACAGUAGAGGUCACGGCAGAAGAGUUCUCAACAAUCAUGGCCAUAAAUUUUGAAUCUGUGUAUCAUCUGUCCCAACUCGCACACCCCCUUUUAAAGGCAUCAGGAGCGGGAAGCAUUGUGUUCAUCUCCUCUGUUGCAGGCGUAGUGUCACUCAAGUAUCUGUCUGCUUAUUCAGCGACCAAAGGUAUUUCAUUACAUGAUCCACAUUAUAUAUAUAUAUAUUGCAAGUUCUUGGGUUGUGGCCCUUGUGGCCUUCUCGGCGUGUCAUUAUCAUUAUCAUUUUGUGAUUUUUCAGGAGCAAUGAAUCAACUUACAAAGAAUUUGGCAUGCGAGUGGGCGGAAGAUAAUAUUAGAAGUAAUGCAGUUGCUCCUUGGUACAUCAAAACUCCGAUGGUGGAUCAGGUAAUUCAGUUGCUCUUCUGUUUUGUCUGGGAAAAUUCAAUAAUCAAUUCCUCUCUCUUUUCUGUCUUUUGCAUAAUCUGGGUUGCAGAUGCUCAGCAACAAAACCUUUCUGGAAGGGGUGAUAAAUCGAGCUCCACUUCGCCGUGUGGGAGAUCCGAAGGAGGUGUCAUCUUUGGUGGCAUUCCUCUGUCUACCAGCAUCAUCUUACAUUACUGGACAGACUAUUUGUGUCGAUGGUGGCGUGACUGUUAAUGGUUUUGAGCCAAACCUGUUAUAGGAACAUCAUUAAGACUCAAAAAUCUUAGCUUCCUCUACCGCUUUCCUGUUUGGAUCCUGUCUUUUUCCUGAAUAAUCUGUUUGUGAUGGUAAGUACUCUUCUGUUUUUUCGGUGUGGGGUUCAUCUGAAAACAUUGUUGCAUGAUGCUUAUAAUAAUCGUUGGAAAGUUUGUAAGAAGUUACUUAUCAUUGGAUGAGAUUCUUGUGAUGAGUGUUUCCUAUAAUCAGAUUUAUCUUGUUAUAAGGUUGUUGUUGUAGUAGUAACUGCAAUUCAAAGGAAAUUAAUUUAGUAUAAUACUGUAGGUUGUUGUCUAGUGUCUACUACCUCAGCUUCUCAUCCCACCCAACUCUCCCUCUUUAACUACCUAAUAUGAAAUUAAAAUAUGAAUUUAACAACCUGUCCGUCUUGUCCACCGUUUCUUUGGCUCUUCAGUCUUCAGACUUCGGCCUUUUAAAGCAGGACCUAAAAGGUUUGGGCCCAAAUGUUGGAAAAACUUAACACAGGCUGCAAUUUUGGGCCCCAAAACUCUUUCCAACUGGGCCUGAACACUUUUAGGCCCAAGAUGCUUUAGAUUUUGGACUCGCAGACCAUGUAUAUGCCCUCAACACCACCAUGCUUUACUUCAUCCCUUCCUUUCAAAUUAAAAGGAAAUUCAAAUUUCAUGAUGUUACAACUUGCUCAUUGAUGUACAUUCCCAUUCACAAAAAAUAAAAUAUUAAAUGCACUUAUCCAAAAUAUCUUCAUACCUACCUAUUUUUAUUUUUAAAAUAAAAUUUAAACGUUGAAUAACAAAAAUACCAUUUUUGUCAUCCUUACCCUUCACCCUUCCGAAACCCUAAUCUAAUCUUCCCUUUCUCUCUUCUUUCAUUUUCCAUCUUCUUAAAUGGGAAAAUAACGAUCAUCAGAGCCCACCGUGACUUGUGACAGGUUCGAUCCCUUAACAAUGACGAGGCCAUUAUGGAUAAUAUAAGGAUAAGCAUUACAAUAUUUCACUCCUUCACGUGCAUCUCCCUUCACACAAAGAUGCUUCCUUCACUCAUUUUAUAUUAAUAAUAUGAUAAAUUAUACAAAAAAAAAACAAUUUUUUUUUUAUCAAAAUUGUUUUCAACAAUAUUUCAAAUAUAUAUAUAUAUAUAUAUAUAUAUAUAAAUUUGGAAAACUUGUAUUUUGGAGCUGCUAUUUAGAAAUUAUAUAGUUUUCGGAACCCAAAAAUGAGAAAUAUGAUAAUCAAAUUUUAAUAUGAAAAGUAUUAUCGUUUUUGUGCACUUUGAGUAGACUUCAUCUUUUGUGCCCAAAUGGCCCCUCCAUGUCUCCAGCUCAGCAUUCUUAGCAUCAUCCCAACCUUUGUGUCAGUAGAACCAUUGAAAUUAAGAAAAAAAAAAACACAAAAAUCUAAAUUUGUAACUUCUCAAAAAAAAAAAAAAAAAAACCCAAUCUGCAAGUUUUCAAUUUGCUCAUUUGGAAAACAUUUUUUUUUAUAAAUAUCAAUAUUAUUUUUAAAAAAUGGUGACUUUUAGCUUUUAAUUAAAACUAAGAACAAGAAGUUAUUCCAAAUAUGACUUAUGUAUUUAUUCAGUGAAAGUAAUUUUUUCAUUUAAAAAAAGUAAUUUCUUGGUGAUAAAAAGAAAUAUUUUUUUAGUAGCUUUUCGAUGCUAUAAAAAAAGUGUUGGCUAAGUUUGUAUGAUAAAAUUGGUGUUAUUUAUAUACCAGCACUUUCGCUAGGGUCUUAUUUAUUGGGAAAACUGAUUAAUAAACUAAUCUUCUGUUUUGUUUUCAGUUCAAAGAGUGGUAGAGUAGAGGAGGAGGCAUGGCUCAGACAUUUGGGUGCAGCUCUGGAGAUAGUAGAUGGUCUCUCAAGGGAAUGACUGCUCUUGUAACUGGUGGAACUAAAGGAAUUGGGUUGGUGUUACCUGUUUUUAUGUCUUUGGGUUUGGACUAUACCUUCCUAUAUAUAAACGUAUGUAUCAAUUCUGCAGGCAUGCAAUUGUGGAGGAACUGGCUGGAUUAGGAGCAACCAUACACACGUGUUCUCGAAAAGAAACCGAGCUCAAUGAAUGCUUGAAGGAUUGGAAAGCUAAAGGUUUUGGAGUGAGUGGUUCAGUGUGUGAUGUAUCCUCUCGGGCCCAAAGGGAGAAGCUAAUGGAGACUGUCUCUUCUGUGUUCAAAGGGAAGCUGAAUAUCCUUGUAAGUUCCUCUAGUCUCUAAGGUUCCGAUCCAUGAUAUUCCACAUACUUUGUCGAACUUCCAACAAUUUGAGUUCCCCUACUUGAUAUAUAUAUUUUGGUUCCGGAUUCAGGUCAACAACGCUGCUAUUGUUAUUCAGAAACCAACAGUAGAGGUCACGGCAGAAGAGUUCUCAACAAUCAUGGCCAUAAAUUUUGAAUCUGUGUAUCAUCUGUCCCAACUCGCACACCCCCUUUUAAAGGCAUCAGGAGCGGGAAGCAUUGUAUUCAUCUCCUCUGUUGCCGGCGUAGUGUCAAUCAAGUAUCUGUCUGCUUAUUCAGUAACCAAAGGUAUUUCAUUACAUGAUCCACAUUAUAUAUAUAUAUAUAUAUUGCAAGUUCUUGGGUUGUGGCCCUUGUGGCCUUCUCGGCGUGUCAUUAUCAUUAUCAUAUUGUGAUUUUUCAGGAGCAAUGAAUCAGCUUACAAAGAAUUUGGCAUGCGAGUGGGCGGAAGACAAUAUUAGAAGUAAUGCAGUUGCUCCUUGGUACAUCAAAACUCCGAUGGUGGAUCAGGUAAUUCAGUUGCUCUUCUGUUUUGUCUGGGAAAAUUCAAUAAUCAAUUCCUCUCUCUUUUCUGUCUUUUGCAUAAUCUGGGUUGCAGAUGUUCAGUAACAAAACCUUUCUGGAAGAGGUGAUAAAUCGAGCUCCACUUCGCCGUGUGGGAGAUCCGAAGGAGGUGUCAUCUUUGGUGGCAUUCCUCUGUCUACCAGCAUCGUCUUACAUUACUGGACAGACUAUUUGUGUCGAUGGUGGCGUGACUGUUAAUGGUUUUGAGCCAAACCUGUUCUAGGAACAUCAUUAAGACUCUCAAAAAUCUUAGCUUCCUCUACCGCUUUCCUGUUUGGAUCCUGUCUUUUUCCUGAAUAAUCUGUUUGUGGUGGUAAGUACUCUUCUGUUUUUUCGGUGUGGGGUUCAUUUGAAAACAUUGUUGCAUGAUGCUUAUAAUAAUCGUUGGAAAGUUUGUAAGAAGUUACUUAUCAUUGGAUGAGAUUCUUGUGAUGGGUGUUUCCUAUAAUCAGAUUUAUCUUGUUAUUGUAGUAAUAGGAUUGAAAGAAAAAUGCAAAUAAUCAUAAAAGGAUGAUGAAAAUCGGGAAGAGUUCAUCAUUUUUACUUAUUCAAAUAUUACACCAUCUCUUAUUUACAAUAAAUUUCAAAGAGUGUAAGUGAAACCAACCUUAAAUUAAUUUUGUUUGAUAAAUUUAGAUGAAAUUCAACAAGUGUGAAUCUUUAAUUUUUUUUCAUUUCAAUUAAUUUGGUAUCUAUUAUGAGGUUGCCCAUCAAGCUAAAAAUGACCAAAUAUGAUAUAAGCAUGAAGUCUUUGUUAUAUCUCGGAGAUUAAGAAUUGAUUCCAAUACUUUAUAACUUCCUCUUUUUACUUUAUAUAUCCAUGAAUUUAAGAUAGGUCCCUCACAUGUUUAGCUUCUCCCCUUGACGUACGUAGUGUCAUAUGGACAAUAAUUAAUGCUUGUUCAGCUAAGGUCAAAUAUAUGAAAACAAAUAAGAUUCAUUCACGUAAAACAUACAUGUAGCAAAGAGACGAAGGAAAGUGGGUUCUGUGAUCUAUCACACAUCAUGGAAAAAGCUGUGGUACCAUGGCUUUUCCAGGACUUUUCCUUGCAUAAUGGUACUGACAACAGUAUGCUAUUCUGUUGUUACUCUUAAGAUAUUUUAAUAUAAAGUAGCGCGUAUGUACUAUAUACAAUUCAGUGACGCCAUCUAACACGUUAGCCAAUAAGGUUACAAAUUUUAAUUUUAUAUUAAUAAUAUGAUUUGGGUAUGCUCCAUAUUUUAAAAUAUAAUUGAAUCAUAAAUAUCUAGAACUAGAAAUCCUUUUGAGGGACCAAUAACAUAAAUCAUUAAAAUUUUAUAAUUUGAUAUUAUAAAUUCCUAAUUAAAUUUUAAAAUAUAUUAAAUUUAUUUGAUAUAAAUAUAUAUAAAAAUAAAGAAAAAAAUUAAUAUUUUCAUAUGAUAAAUUAUACAAAAAAAAACAAAUAUAUUUUUUUUUAUCAAAGUUGUUUUCAACAAUAUUUCAAAAAUAUAUAUAUAAAUUUGGGAAACUUGUAUUUUGGAGCUGCUAUUUAGAAAUGAUAUGGUUUUCAGAACCCAAAAAUGGGAAAUAUGAUAAUCAAUUUUUAAUAUGAAAAGUAUUAUCGUUUUUGUGCAUUCUGAGUCGGCUUCAUCUUUUGUGCCCAAAUUGCCCCUCCAUGUCUCCAGCUCAGCAUUCUCAACAUCAUCCCAACCUCCAUGUCAGUAGGACCAUUGAAAUUAAGAAAAAAAAAAACACUAAAAUCUAAAUUUGUAACUUCUCAAAAAAAAAAAAACCCAAUAUGCAAGUUUUCAAUUUGCUCAUUUGGAAGCUUUUUCUCAUCUUUUUCUCUCAUUUUAGUUUAGAAACUCAAAUCCAAAACUCUAAAUGUGAUAUGUUGUGGAAUUGUUUUCAUAGUCCUUAACAAGAUGCAUGCGGCAUGUACUGAACUUUAACCUAAUUCCUUCUACCAAUUUUUCUGGCCCCAAGUUACUAGGGACUAUGGCUCCGAUUGGGUGGUUUUUGAGUAGUCAAAAACCAUUUUUAAAGCUUAGUAAAAAAUUUUAUGCCCCUCAUUUUAUUUAAACAAUUUAUAACUUAAAAAAAUAAGAAAAUAAAAAAAAAUGUUUUUUUAAGCUUUAUUUUGACUUAUUCAAAAAGUUUUUUUAUUUUUUUUAUUUUUAUGUUUAAUACAUUUUUUAUAAUUUCAAUAUUAUUUUUAAAAAAUAGUGACUUUUAGCUUUUAAUUAAAACUAAGAACAAGAAGUUAUUCCAAAUAUGACUUAUGUAUUCAUUCAAUGAAAGUAACUUUUUCAUUUAAAAAAAGUAAUUUCUUGGUGAUAAAAAGAAAUAUUUUUUUAGUAGCUUUUUGAUGCUAUAAAAAAAGUGUUGGCUAAGUUUGUAUGAUAAAAUUGGUGUUAUUUAUAUACCUGCACUUUUGCUAGGGUCUUAUUUAUAGGGAAACUUGUGUUUAAUAUGCUCAAUUCUAUUUCUUUGUAUGGCUAUGCAAUUGUUCAGAUUUGGCAACACUAAUCAAUAAAUGUACGUUAUAUUUGAAACAUUGGAAUAAAAAAAAGAAUAAGAGUUAAUUUUAUUUUCAAUUUAUUACUAUAUUUGAAUUAUUUUUUACAAUGAUAAUAGAAUUAAAAAGAAAAUCACUUAGUAACCCUUAGGUACUACCUUAAUAUACCUUAAAUAACCUUAAUCGAUCUUAGAUAUUAUCUUAGUUACACUUGGGUACUACCUAUGUGAAGCCUCAAAACUUCAUUUGUAGACAUUACUUCAUGUGUGAACAUUAGAGAUGACAUUAUGUGCACCUUUAAUAAGUGUUACUAAGGUAGUACCUAAGGUACAAUCAACACUAUAUCAAAGGUGCACAUAAUGUCAUGCUCUAAUGUUCACAAAUAAAGUAAGUAAUGUUUACAAAUGAAGUUUCCAGGCUUCACACAGGUAGUAUCCAAGUCUAAUUAAGUAGUACCUAAGGUCGGUAAGGUAGAUUAAGGUAAUACCUAAGGGUUACUAAGGUAGUACCUAAGGUACAAUCACCACUAUAUCAAAGGGGCACAUAAUGUCAUGCUCUAAUGUUCACAAAUAAAGUAAGUAAUGUCCAUAAAUAAAGUUUCGAGGCUUCACACAGGUGGUACCCAAGUUUAACUGAGAUAAUACCUACAAUUAGUUAAAAUUAGUACCUACAAUCAGUUAAGAUAGUACUUAAGAUAAAUUAAUGUAGUACCUAAAGGUUACUAAGGUAGUACCUAAAGGUUACUAAGGUAGUACCUAAGGUACAGUAAAUACUAAAGAACAAUAAAUAAAAAUUAAUUACCUUCGUAUUUCGAGUAGGGGUUAGGGAAAAAUGUGACAGAAUGACAGGAAGACGAGACAUUUUUUUUUAGGAAACCAAUAUUUUGGAUUUCACCUUUUCGUCCAAGUACGCUUUGCUAUAGAAAAAUCAAUAUCAUAGUUGCGCCUAUUGAAACCAUCUUUUAACUGGACGUUCUUAGGAUGGAGUGCUCCAUUUGGUUGUUGAGAAUUUAGACAAGAAAGAAAAAUGCAGGUUGGAGUUUUGGAUUAAGGGUUUCUUUUCUCAAAUUGAAGAAAUUUUAGGAAAUUUUAAAUGGGUUUUAGGAUCGUCUGGGUGAUAAAGCCAAGAGAAAUAGAGAAAGAAAUGUUUCCAACCUUUAAGAGGAAAAAGUUUCAGAUUUGGGAAAUUUGAGAUGGUUCCCGGGUCAAGUGUUUUUUUGUGUUUUAGAUUUGAGAAGUUUCAAAUUCUUGGAGAAGAUAUAAAUAUGUAGAUUUGAAUUUUAAGGGUUUCUUUUUUGAAAUGAGAGAAAUUUUGGAAAAUUUUAUAGGUGUCUUUCUAAUUCGGCUAGGUAAGGAAGUGAAGAGAGUUGAGAGAAAAUGUUCCCAAAUGAGAGAGAUGGAAAGUUUUUGAUUUGGGAAAUUAGAGGUGUUGUCAGGAUGGGUGUUUAUGAGAACUUUCAAAUUCUAAUUUUUGUGUUUUGUUUAAUUUCAGAAGGUCUUGUUGACAUGAAAAGCUGACUUACUGCUGACAUGGAGACAUUGAGGGACAAUCUGGGAAUAGAAAAUGUAAACAUGACAUAGUGCAUGAGAACGAUAAUAUUUUCUCCAAUAACAGGGAAAUAUCAUAUUUCAUAUACUUGGGGUUCGAAAAGCAUAUAAUUUUCAAAUCACAGACUGAAAACACAAGUUUCCCAUAAAUAUACUUAAAGCAUGUUUGAUAACAAUUUUGAAAAAUAAUUUUCGAAAAUAGUUAUUUAAAAUUGUUUUUUGAUGUUUACAACAUAAAAAAAAAAAAAAAACAUGUUUGACAACCUAAAAUAAUUUUUAUAUCUAAUAUUUUAUUUUUAAUAAUUCGAUAUAUUUGUAUAAUUAUUUUUAAAAAUAGCUGUAAAAAAUAAGUGAAAACAAGUAAAGAUGUUAUCCGAAAACAUUAUAUUUUUUAUUUUUAAAAACAAAAAAUAGUUUUUCUUAUUCUCAAACAAGUUUUCCUGUUUUUUACGAAGAAAAAAUUAUUGUCAAACAAUCCCUUAUAUACUUGUGUUUUAUCAAGUGGUGAAAUAUCUUUGUAUGAAUUAUAUAGCAACUCAUAAGAGUAAGAGAAAAAGAGACAAUUUUAAAAGUGCAUAUGACAAGUGGAAAUUAUUAGAAAAGAGGCAAUUUUAAGAAUGGAUUUGAUAUGUGUCACAAAGACCACUAAAAUUUGGUGUGAAUAUAUAAAUAAGUUUUAAAUUUUGUUGAUUAACAUAUCUAUAAAUUUUUUUAUUUAUAAAAUUUAAUUUUUAGAGAAAUUUUAGAUAAAAAGAUUUUAGAUCUAUUCAAUCAAAAAUUGAAAGAGUAACUUAAUGUAUUUACUCUAAGCCUCAUGGUGUGUGAAUUAAACCAACCUUCAAAGAAAAAUAGAAAAAAAAAAAAGUGAAUCAUAAUAAAAAGGAAAGUAGUCAAAAUCAAAAGGAGAAUCAAAUUUGAUUUCCAUAUUAGUGAUUUUUUAAAAAAAAUUCUAUUAUCAUUGUAAAAAAUAAUUCAAAUACAUUAAUAAAUUGAAAAUAAACUUAACUCUUAUUCUCAUUUCUUAUUCCAAUGUUUCAAAUAUAACGUCCAUUUAUUGAUUAGUGUUGCCAAAUCCGAACAAUUGCAUAGCAAUACAAAGAAAUGGAAUUGAGCAUAUAAAACACUUUUUUUUUAUAGUAUCAAAAAGCUACUGAAAAAAAUAUUUCUUAUCUCCAAGAAAUUACUUUUUUAAAAUGAAAAAAUUACUUUCAUUGAAUGAAUACAUAAGCCGUAUUUGGAAUAACUUCUUAUUCUUAAUUUUAAUUAAAAGCAAAAAGUCACAAUUUUUUAAAAAUAAUAUUGAUAUUAUAAAAAAUGUAUUAAACAUAAAAAAACCUUUUUGAAUAAAUCAAAAUAAAGCUUUAAAAAAAACAUUUUCUUGAUUUUCAUAUUAAGUUAUUUUUUAAGUUAUAAAUUAUUUAAAUAAAAUGAGCAGCAUAAAAAAUCUUAUAGAGCUUUAAAAAUGGUUUUUGACUACUCAAAUCCACCCAAUCGGAACCAUCAUCCCGGUAACUUGGGGCCAGAAAAAUUGGCAAAAGGAAUGAGGUUAAAGUUCAGUACGUGUUGCAUGCAUCUUAUUAAAGACCAUAAAAGCAAUUCCAUAAUAUAUCACAUUUGGAGUUUUGGAUUUGGGUUUUUAAACUAAAAUGAGAGAAAUUUUGGGUUGUCGAAAGCGAAGAAAGAUGAGAGAAAACUUUCAAAUAAGUAAAUUGAAAACUUACAGAUUGUGUGUGUGUGUUUUUUUUUUUUUUUUUUAAAAAAAGUUAUAGAUUAAGAUUUUAAUAUUUUUUUUUUCUUAAUUUCAGUGGUUUGAUUGAUAUAGAGGUUGAAAUGAUGUUGAGGAUGCUAAGCUGGAGACAUGAAUGGGCAACUUGGGCAUGAAAGAUGGAGCCAGCUCAGAGGCAUAAAAACGAUAAUACUUUUUAUAUUAAAAAUUGAUUUUCAUAUUAAAUUUUAUACAUCUAUUUUAAAACAAUUAAAAUUUUAUUCAAUUUUCAAUUAUAAUAUAUGCACUGCCUCUCGCGGGUCGAUACUGCUGACGAGUGCAUGAAAUUAUUAUAAAUAUCUCAUGGAAUGAGGACAGAUUAAAGAAGAGGAGAGAGAGAGAGAGAGAGGGAGAAGAAGAAGACAACCAAAAAAGAAAAGGAAGACAGCAUUGUAAACAUAGAAAAUGGAAAGUAUUGGAAAUAUUUCAUGAAAUCGGAGUAAACAACAAAACAAAAUAAAAUACUUUUAAUCCCUGUUUCCUACUUCUGUCAUAAAGUAUGGAUAGAGAUGAGACGAAGGAGGAGAAGGAGGAGAAGGAGGAGCACUCAGCUUUCACCGAUACUGCAGUGUGUUGUGGUGGUGUAGCAUAUGGUAGGAUGUCAUUCUUGCUCCAAAAGUGUGGGCAGAUCCAUUUUUAUUUUCCUUUUUUCAUCUCUGUCCUCACUGAUUCGUUUUGGGUAUCCAUCAAUAUUUAUCAGUGGGCUUGGUGUUAGUCAAAAGCCACCAAUUUUUCUUUCCUUUUUUUUUUUCCCAUAUAUUAGAAUGAAAUGUUGUUGUCCAUUUUAGGGGAAGGCGUUAUGCUGAACUGAACUGUGCGAGGGGAAUGAAAAUUAAUUUAGGGGUUUUCUUCCUCCUCUAUUUUUGGCUCUCUUUCAUGAGGGUACAGAUUCUCUUUUUUUCUCUCGGAGUGUUUGGAUUGUUUCAUUCCAUUUAACUAUUUUUGCAGCAUAUUCCGAGUGUUAUAGGUAUUGGGUAAUCAGUAAUACAGAAAAUGUAAUAUAAUUUUGUACUAUGUAGUUUUGGACUUGGGGUAGGAUGAGUUUAAUUUAUGUAGAUUCAUGUCACUAUUCUCAGCCUUCAAUGCAUUGAUUUCUCCAGAUUUUGAUAUAUAUAUAUAUAUAUAUAUACAAACUGCAAUGGGAAUAAAAAGGAUGGUUGUUUCUUCAAGAAUUCUGAGAAAAAAAAAGGGGGUGGGGGGGCAAGAGAGGUUUGAGGAGGCCAUUGGGACUGUUAUCAGUUCUGUGUCUUUUGUUUUCAAGUUGUAAGAAGUCCCUGUUAUGCCAUUUGCUAUGUUGUUUCUGUCCAAUUUUCAGUUGAAAGAGUGGUAGAUUAGAGAAGGAGGAAUGGCUCAGACAUCUGGAUGCAGCUCUGGAGAUAGUAGAUGGUCUCUCAAGGGAAUGACUGCUCUCGUAACUGGUGGAACUAAAGGAAUUGGGUUUGUGAUGUUACCUGUAUUCUAUGUCUUUGGUUUGGACUACACCUUCCUUCCCAUAUAUAAAUGUAUGUAUCAAUUAUGCAGGCAUGCAAUUGUGGAAGAACUGGCUGGACUAGGAGCAACCAUACACACAUGUUCUAGAAAAGAAACCGAGCUCAAUGAAUGCUUGAAGGAUUGGAAAGCUAAAGGUUUUGGAGUGAGUGGUUCAGUGUGUGAUGUAUCCUCUCGGGCCCAAAGGGAGAAGCUAAUGCAGACUAUCUCUUCUGUGUUCAAUGGGAAGUUGAAUAUCCUUGUAAGUUCCUCUAGCCUGUAAAGUUCCAACCUGUGAUCUUAUACAUAAUUUGUUGAACUUAUUACAAUUGAGUUCCCCUGCUUGAAUUUUUGUUGGAUUCAGAUCAACAAUGCUGCUAUAAGUAUUCAGAAACCAACAAUAGAGGUCACAGCUGAAGAGUUCUCAACAAUCAUGGCCACAAAUUUUGAAUCUGUGUACCAUCUGUCCCAAAUCGCACACCCCCUUUUAAAGGCAUCAGGAGCCGGAAGCAUUGUAUUCAUCUCCUCUGUUUCCGGCAUAGUGGCACACAAGAAUAUCUCUGCUUAUUCAGUAACCAAAGGUAUUUCAUCACAUGAUCCAUGGUAUAUUCCAAGUGCUAGGAGUAAAUUCCUAUUUACCAGAGCAAUACUGAACAAGAGAAACAUAUAGAAUUUAUAGCGGUUCUCUUCUAAAGGGAGAGCUACAUCCAUUUUGCCAUUGUAGAUUUUCAUUAUGAAAAAAAAAAAAACCUACAGAACGAUCUCAGGUCUUACAAUAAUUAUCUCAUCUCUGAUUUUCCACAGAGAAAACAGUCACCAUGCAUGUACAAAAUAACUAUAAUAUCCCUUUGAUUGAUUCUCAGUCACCAGGAAAAGUGUAUAUUGUAAUUAGCAAGGCUCCACACAACUGAACAGCAAGUCCUUGGAUUGACCAUCUGUCAUUAUCAUUUUGUGAUUUUUCAGGAGCAAUGAAUCAACUUACAAAGAAUUUGGCAUGCGAGUGGGCGAAAGACAAUAUUAGAAGUAAUGCUGUAGCUCCUUGGUACAUCAAAACUCCAAUGGUGGAGCAGGUAAUUUCUAAUUUCCCUUCACAUCAUUUAGUUGCUCGAAUUCCCUUCUUUUUUUCUUGGUCUGGGAAAAUAGAAUAAUUGACUCGUCCUUCCUUCUCUGUCGUUUACAUUCUCUGGGUUCCAGAUGCUCACUAACCAAGCCUUUCUGGAAGAGGUGAUAAAUCGAGCUCCACUUCGUCGUGUGGGAGAUCCAAAGGAGGUGUCAUCUUUGGUAGCAUUCCUCUGCCUACCGGCAUCAUCUUACAUUACUGGACAGAUUAUUUGUGUUGAUGGUGGCAUGACUGUUAAUGGUUUUGAGUCAAACCUGCUCUAGGAACAUCAUAUGUGAUGGUAUUAUAGCCCUAAUUUGGCUGGCAUGUAUGGAGACUCUUUCAAACAUCUUAGCUUCCUCUACUGCUUCCAUGCCUGGAUCCUUUCUUUUUCCUGAAUAAUCUGCUUGUCAUGCCAAAGUCUUUAGUUUUUUUGGUGUGGGGUUCCCUUGAAAACCUUGCUGCAUGAUGCUUAUAAUAAUGUUUGGAAAGUUUGCUAAUUUUUAUUUGGGUUCAAAUUUUAAUUUUUCAAAAAGUUUCUUAUUAUUUGAUGAGAUUCUUGUGAAGGGUGUUUUUAUAAGGAUUUUAAUUCCAUACAUAAAUCAUACAUCUUUAAUCUCAAUACCAUUGAAAUAUAUAUCCAAUCCUUUGUUGUUCUUUCGUUUUUUUGUAACUUAAUUGUAGUAGGAUCGGAAAUAUGCGAACACUUUCUACUUUUGACCAUUUGCUUUGCUAAAUUAGACCAACUUUUCAUAAUACAAUUCUCAAGUAUUUCUUCAUUUUCAUUACAAUGAUCAUGCAUGGAUAUGGAAAAACUAAUCGGACUCUAAUGUCGUUCAAAUGCAUUUCAUAGAUCAAUCUUCAUCGUCGUAUCCUAAUUUUCAAAACUUGUUAGAACUUCUAAACUUAGUCAAUAUGUAUAGACAUGAUAUCCUCCAUGAUUUUUUUUUAUUGCAACGAAAAAAAGUUAUACAUUCUAUAUUUGAUCCCUAAAUAAAAAAGAAAAAAAGAAAAAAAAAAGAAUGUCUUGCAAAAAUAUUAGGGUUGCACAAAGUUUGGUUGUUAGAAUAAGUAAAAAUGAUGUGCAUCAAAAUAUGUCUUUGAGAAUGGCAAAUAUGUGAGUGCGCUUUAAAAACUCAAAUGGCUUCAAAUGAAUUUCAAGGAAAUGAUUCCAACAUAUAUUCAUCUUCUUAUACCUUUCUGUGCUUCUCCACCAUUUGUAACAAUUUCCUCACUCAUUUGUAAUCCUAAUAAACCUUCCGACCUAUUUUAAAAUUUGUCAAUAUAUUUUAAGCUAAGCUCACCAUCUAUAGUAUCAAAAAAAUUUCUCCUUAAUCCAUGUGGGAUAUGUAUAAUGAAUAAUAUUUGCUCAAAGGUUAAAUAUAUGAAAAUAAUUAAGAUUCAAUCACAUAAAAAUUACAUAUAGCAAGUAGGGAUAACAAUUUUGAUACUAAUAUAAUAAAACGACUAAAAAAUUACAUGGAUUUUAGUAGUUUUGGGUUAAGUAUAAUCAUAUUUAUGUUAUAAUUGUGUAAACACAUUUAUUAAACCAAUGAUAUUGGAAUGUGACUAUUCAACUCAUUUAACCCAUUUAUUUAUUCAUAUCAAAACACAUCUAUGAUAUGAUUAUGAGAACUAAUUUAUGAUUGACAUAACCAAUUUAUAACUUAUUAAUUAAUUCAUAUAAAUUUAUUAAUUUUAUAGAUAUUUAAAAAAUAUUAAAAAUUUAAAACACUUUUUCAAUUAUAAAGAUGUCCUAUAAAACACUAAGGAGGUCACCCUUAUUUAUAUAUGAAAUUAGGGAAUUAAAUUUGAAAUAUAUGAUAUUUGAUUACUUAAUUUAAAGAAUUUGAUUUCUUAAUUUCAAUAACUUUUCAGCCUCAUUUAAGAAAUUUGCCAACAAUCAAAUGUUUUUUCUAAGUCCCUUUUGACUUCAAUUUCCCAAUUUGUUUCUCCUAUUUGAGAAAUCUAUCAAUAAGAAAAUAUUUCUCUCUAAUUCCUUUUUAACUUUAAUUAUUUUAUUUUAUUUUAUAAGACUAGAUUUUGAAACCGUUCAAAUUUUACCGUGUGUUAUUUUUAAAAUCGUAUAUCGCAUGUUCAAUGUGUAGAAUUCAUGACUUAUGAAAUCCAAAUUUUAUUGAACUAUAGGGUUAUAACUUUAGUGACAAAUUUUAUAGUAAUUUAAUCCUUCUUUUAUUUUUAAGCCUACAUAGCUCAACAAGUUGAAUAUAUUUUUAUCGUGUUAAUGGGUUAUCAGUCUUGAUUUAAUUUAAUUUAUCAAAGAGGUUAAAUGAAUGAUUCCCAAUUUGCCACCACAAUAACAAGAGACAACAGACAGAAGGAAAGAGAAACUAAAAUACGUAAUGUGACUUUUCCUUUCAUGUUGCUUACUAUACUUGGUGUCUCUUAAUUUGUUUUUAUUAUAAGAUGUUAAUAAUAUGAUUUUAUUGAUUUAUACCCCAUAUAUAUCAUUUGAGGGAUUGAAAAUAUUGCAAAUUCAUAAUUAAAUUUAAAAGAUAAAUACAUAUACACACACACACAUAUAUAUAUAUAUAUAUAUAUAUAUAUAUAUAUAUAUGAAUAAAAAAAAUCAUCUAUGUAUAAAAUAAUAAUAAGUAGUCUAUUUUUAUCAUUUUUAUGUUAGAAGUUAAUCGAAAACAUAUUUUUUGUUUUUCCAUAAUUUAUACAAAAUUAUAAUAAAAUUUUUAUUCUAGAUAAAAUUAUAUUUUAUAAUUUGUAAUAAUUUAAUUAUAUCAAUUUAAUAUUUUGAUAUCCGUCGUAAAUUAUAUAGAAAUAUUGGAGUGCAAAUACUAAACUACAUAAUAACAACAAGACACCUUAUUCAUCCAAAUUUUCAAAUUUCAAAUAGAAAAUAUUAAAAACAUAAUUUUUAAAUUUAUUAAAAUAUUUAUAUUUGUAAAAAAGUAAUUAAUAAAGAUUUUAAAAUUUUAAAUAUGAUUAAUGAGAUUAUUAUGUGGGUAUUUAUUACUAAUAUUUAAUAUUAAAAAAAAUAAAAUAACAAUAUGAUAUUAAGAUUAUAUUUUUAUAAAUAUAGCAAAAUGAGAUUAUUCUAAAUUCAGUGAUGAUAACAUUAUAGUAAAAAUAAGGAGUGAUAUAAUUAUAAAUAUUUCACUAAGAGCAUAAAAAAUAAAAAAAUAUGGUAAAUUUAGCGAGUAAUAUUGUUACUAUAAAUAUCUGGUGACACGACGACAGAUAUAUGAGUAGAGAAAAACCUCGCUAUUCUACAUAUAGAGAUUCAGAUACCAUUGCCUAUGUCAUGAAAUCAGAGUCCACAAGAAGACAACAUAAAAUGCUAUCGAUCCAUCGCUGUUUCUUGCUCCUGUUAUAAAUUAUGGAUACUAGAUGAAGAUGAGAAGUAGAAGGAGAAGAAACACUUAGCUUUCAAGGAGUCGUAGAGCAGAGGAGGAGACAUGGCUCAGACAUGUGGGUGCAGCUCUGGAGAUAGUAGAUGGUUUCUCAAGGGAAUGACUGCUCUUGUAACCGGUGGAACUAAAGGAAUUGGGUUGGUGUUACCUGUUUUUACGUCUUUGGGUUUGGACUACACCUUCCUAUAUAUAAACGUAUGUAUCAAUUCUGCAGGCAUGCAAUUGUGGAGGAACUGGCUGGAUUAGGAGCAACCAUACACACGUGUUCUCGAAAAGAAAGCGAGCUCAAUGAAUGCUUAAAGGAUUGGAAAGCUAAAGGUUUGGAGUGAGUGGUUCAGUGUGUGAUGUAUCCUCUCGGGCCCAAAGGGAGAAGCUAAUGGAGACUGUCUCUUCUGUGUUCAAUGGGAAGCUGUAUAUCCUUGUAAGUUCCUCUAGUCUCUAAGGUUCCUAUCCAUGAUAUUCCACAUACUUUGUCGAACUUCCUACAAUUUGAGUUCCCCUACUUGAUAUAUAUAUAUAUAUAUAUAUUAUAUACUUUUUUUUAGAACCAGACAGCUUUGGUUUCAAAGACCCUACAUUUACCCAUCAUCCUUGUUAAAUAAUUAUGAGGAAGUCAUACUUACACGUGGAGAUUGAAAAAAAUAAUGAAUGAAUUCCACCAAAUGAAUUAAUUUUGUUUGGCAAUUUCAUUUGAAAAUCAACAAAGAAUGAUGUGAGGUGUGAAUCUUUUUCCAUAUAUCAGCGCACAUAUUCAAAUUCAGCCCUUUCCAUUAAUCUGAUAGCGAUUAUGAGGUUGCGUAGAUGCUACAACAACGACCAAAUGUGAUGAAGAUUUCAGGAAGUGUUGUGAAGAAUUUGAAGAAAAAUAUGAAGAAUUUGAAACAAAAUAUGGAGGAACACCUCAAUUCAUUCUGUGAUACCUUCCUUUACAAUGAAUGAAAGCAUAAAUAAAUAGCCUACGGAUAUGAGACAAUUCCGGAAUGGAAUUUCCCUUACAUGGAAAGUGAAUAAACUCUUACAUGGGAAGUGAAUAAACUACUCUUACAUGGAAAGUGAAUAAACUACCUUGCUAGAAUUACUCCUAAAUAUAUAAACUACUCUUACAUGGAAAGUGAAUAAACUACCUUGCUAGAAUUACUCCUAAAUCAAUUAUAAUAAAGGCUGUACAUUACACUAAUUAGGGAAGUAAACAGAGGAUGCUGGCUUGAUUUCCAACACUCCCCCUCAAGCCGCAUUGUAGAUGUUGAUCAUUCCAAGUUUUUCUGUCAGAUCUUCGAAGUUAACUCGAGCAAGAGCUUUUGUGAGAAUGUCAGCCGUUUGACAGUUUGUCGGAGUGUAGCUGACUUUGAAAACUCCUUCUUCAAUCUUUUCCUUGAUAAAGUGUCGAUCUAUCUCCACGUGCUUAGUUCGAUCAUGAUGAACCGGAUUCUUAGCGAUACUGAUGGCAGCUUGAUUGUCGCAGUAUAACACCAUGGGAUGCUUCAAUGGAACCCGUAAUUCUUCUAACAGCCUGUUCAACCAGAUUCCCUCGCAGAUACCUUGUGCCAUAGCACGAAAUUCUGCCUCAGCACUGCUACGGGCUACCACUGACUGUUUCUUGCUUCGCCAUGUAACCAAGUUCCCUCAGACAAAUGAACAAUAGCCUGAAGUUGAUCUCCGAUCAGUCACUAAACCUGCCCAAUCUGCAUCUGAAAAAAUCUCUAUCUCUUUAUUUGUUGUUCUUUGAAAGAAGAGACCCUUUCCCGGUGUCAUCUUGAGGUAUCUCAAUAUUCUGAUCACAGCAAUCAUGUGUUUUUCGGUUGGAUUAUUCAUGAAUUGACUUACCACACUAACGGAGAAGCCGAUGUCUGGCCUUGUAUGAGAAAGAUAGAUGAGUUUCCCCACAAGACGUUGAUAUCUUCCUUUAUCAACUGGCGCACUUCCAUCACAUUUCUUCCANNNNNNNNNNNNNNNNNNNNNNNNNNNNNNNNNNNNNNNNNNNNNNNNNNNNNNNNNNNNNNNNNNNNNNNNNNNNNNNNNNNNNNNNNNNNNNNNNNNNNNNNNNNNNNNNNNNNNNNNNNNNNNNNNNNNNNNNNNNNNNNNNNNNNNNNNNNNNNNNNNNNNNNNNNNNNNNNNNNNNNNNNNNNNNNNNNNNNNNNNNNNNNNNNNNNNNNNNNNNNNNNNNNNNNNNNNNNNNNNNNNNNNNNNNNNNNNNNNNNNNNNNNNNNNNNNNNNNNNNNNNNNNNNNNNNNNNNNNNNNNNNNNNNNNNNNNNNNNNNNNNNNNNNNNNNNNNNNNNNNNNNNNNNNNNNNNNNNNNNNNNNNNNNNNNNNNNNNNNNNNNNNNNNNNNNNNNNNNNNNNNNNNNNNNNNNNNNNNNNNNNNNNNNNNNNNNNNNNNNNNNNNNNNNNNNNNNNNNNNNNNNNNNNNNNNNNNNNNNNNNNNNNNNNNNNNNNNNNNNNNNNNNNNNNNNNNNNNNNNNNNNNNNNNNNNNNNNNNNNNNNNNNNNNNNNNNNNNNNNNNNNNNNNNNNNNNNNNNNNNNNNNNNNNNNNNNNNNNNNNNNNNNNNNNNNNNNNNNNNNNNNNNNNNNNNNNNNNNNNNNNNNNNNNNNNNNNNNNNNNNNNNNNNNNNNNNNNNNNNNNNNNNNNNNNNNNNNNNNNNNNNNNNNNNNNNNNNNNNNNNNNNNNNNNNNNNNNNNNNNNNNNNNNNNNNNNNNNNNNNNNNNNNNNNNNNNNNNNNNNNNNNNNNNNNNNNNNNNNNNNNNNNNNNNNNNNNNNNNNNNNNNNNNNNNNNNNNNNNNNNNNNNNNNNNNNNNNNNNNNNNNNNNNNNNNNNNNNNNNNNNNNNNNNNNNNNNNNNNNNNNNNNNNNNNNNNNNNNNNNNNNNNNNNNNNNNNNNNNNNNNNNNNNNNNNNNNNNNNNNNNNNNNNNNNNNNNNAUGCAUGAAACGUAGGUGAUAGCUUAUCAUAAGAAAAUAAAAUUUCCAAAUGGGAUGCUGAGUGCAUGAUCUAACUCCUUUCCUCCAAGCUAUGGGCAUAUUAAGAAUAUCAUUUUCUAACUCGGAAUCAACAGUACCAUCAGGAGCGUUGUUACCUGGAAGUUUGCUUGGAUUAGGACCCGGUUCUGCCUCAUGGGUUUGUUGAGAAAGUGAUCUUUCCUCCGUUUCCUCUUGGAUGUGCUCCUUAUCCCACAAGUCAACAAUGGACUCGGGUUGAUUAAAUGACUCUGGAGGAAUGUGAUUUUCAGUGGUGAUGGGUGACUCACUGAAUGACUCAAGAUCCCAAAAUUGAUAUUCCUGAGUUGAAUUCUCCCCCUGAAUAUCGUUUUUGGGAUAGUAAGGCUGGGUUUCAAAAAAGGUGACAUCCAUUGAAUUUUAGAAUUUUCUUGUGACCGGAGAGUAACACUUAUACCCUUUUUGAUUUGAAGAAUACCCAAGAAAGAUGCACUUGAGUGACCUAGGAUCAAGUUUACUUCUAUGUUGUUGAUUGAUAUGAACAAAGAUAGAGCACCCGAAAAUUUUAGGUGGGACGGUGGAGAUGAGACGAGUAGUCGGAAAGGAUUUUAGGAGUGUUUGACAAGGUGUUUGGAAUUUUAGUACCCUAGACGGCAUCCUAUUGAUGAGGUAGGCUGCCAUAAGGACAGCUUGCCCCCAGAAUAAUUUUGGAACAUUCAUGGAGAACAUUAGUGAUCUAGCCACCUCUAACAAAUGCCUAUUUUUCCUUUCAGCGAUUCCGUUUUGUUGUGGGGUAUCAACACAUGAAUUUAAGUGAACUAUCCCUUCUUGUGCUAGAAAUUCUCCUAGAAUGGAGUUGAAAUAAUCCCUAGCAUUAUCAGACUUUAGAAUUUGUAUUUUUGACUGGAAUUGAGUCUGAAUCAUAUUUUUAAAAUUUUUGAAAAUUUGACUCGUUUCAGAUUUUUCUUUCAUGAGGAAUACCCAAGUUAAUCUAGUGUGAUCAUCUAUGAAUGAGACAAACCACCUAGUACCAGUUACAUUUUUUAUUCUUGAUGGACCCCAGAUAUUGCUAUGAAUCAUUGAGAAUGGACUAGACUCUUUAUAGGGUUGAAUGGGAAAAUGAGACCGGACUUGCUUUGAUAAUUGACAGAUUUCACACUCAAAGGAUUUUGGAUUUUUAUUAAAUAAUGAAGGAAAUAAAUGCUUGAGAUACAUAACAUUUGGAUGACCUAAGCGAUAGUGCCACAACCUAAUUGCACUAUCGUUAUUUUGACAUGAAACCAAAAAAGAAUUACUACCAACUGUCAUUUGAGGUUGUUCUUGUGGAUCGUGGCGCUCCUUAAGGAUGUAGAGUCCAGAGCAUUCCUCAGCAUUGCCAAUCGUCUUCCCCGAAUCCAAAUCCUGAAAUUCACAGUGAGUGGAGGAAAAAUUAGUAGAUACACCUCUUUUCCUUAGUGAGUUUACUAANNNNNNNNNNNNNNNNNNNNNNNNNNNNNNNNNNNNNNNNNNNNNNNNNNNNNNNNNNNNNNNNNNNNNNNNNNNNNNNNNNNNNNNNNNNNNNNNNNNNCGUCAUAUGAUCAGAUGCUCCUGAGUCCACUAUCCAAGGUUUUUUACGUUUCUUACCAGCAGUGAAGGCACUCAAAAAAUUACCUUUGUGAGCCAAGGUUCCGGAACCAAUGACCUGGUUGGAAGAUGAGCCAGUUUGUGACUGUACUGACAAAAGAGGAGACAGUAGUUUCUGAAGCAUCUCCAUCUGAUGAGAGGAUGAAGACGAUGAGAUGAUGAUAUCAGAAGUAGAGGAUGAUGAGUUGGUAGCCAUUCCAAAGGCUGGACCGUAUUUAGGCAUAAAUUAGAAGAAUAGAAUUGAGUAAAAAAAAACUGACUAAAGAUGAAGACGAUGAGACAGGAUUAAACCUGCUCUGAUACCAUGAAGAAUUUGAAGAAAAAUAUGAAGAAUUUGAAAACAAAAUAUGGAGGAACACCUCAAUUCAUUCUGUGAUACCUUCCUUUACAAUGAAUGAAAGCAUAAAUAAAUAGCCUACGGAUAUGAGACAAUUCCGGAAGGGAAUUUCCCUUACAUGGAAAGUGAAUAAACUCUUACAUGGGAAGUGAAUAAACUACUCUUACAUGGAAAGUGAAUAAACUACCUUGCUAGAAUUACUCCUAAAUCAAUUAUAAUAAAGGCUGUACAUUACACUAAUUAGGGAAGUAAACAGAGGAUGCUGGCUUGAUUUCCAACAUGUUGGAGUGCGCAUGCUUGAGGAUGAAAACUGUGAACUUGAAAUGACUUAGAAGAUUAAUUUAAGUUUUCAAAUACAUAAAAUAUAAUUAAUAACAUAACUUAAUACAAUAAGUUAAGGCUUCCUAAAGUCUUAAAAUAAAUAACUUUUUCCCAACCUGAAAUAUCCUUUGCCUUGGUAAUAUUCAUGUUCUUCAAGAUCAAAAUUAGUUUGUUUGAUAUAUAAUUCAAAUUAAAAGAUGGAGGGUGUGCCGGGUCCUUUCUAAAUUCAAAAUGGCAUCAUGAAUCAGGUAAGGUUGUGCCCCACGGAUGAAAAUAUAGUAUUAGUUUGGACAAUGUGCCAUGGAAAGAAGAUAGAUUAAGUUCUACAUAUUCAUAUCAGUUGUCUCAGCUUUCACGGCAGACAUUUUCGACGCAAGAGACCGUCUCUUGCGGUGAGUAUUAACCACACUUCUAAAGUUGGAUGUUCGAGAAGACAACUGGGAUUGAUCAGUUUUGUCUCUUUUAUUUUCAGCUUCCUAGAAUCUCUCUCUCUAUCUCUCUUUUUUUUUUCUCAAGGUUAAUGUCAUUUUCUAUGUUGUGGUAGAGUAGAGAAGAACUCAGAAGGCAUGGCACAGACUGGCUGCAGCAAUGGAGAUAAUAGAUGGUCUCUCAAGGGAAUGACAGCCCUUGUAACGGGUGGAAUGAACUUUGAUCUGUCUCUGCCAAUUAUCACCUUGUUUUUAUAUCAAUUCUGCAGGCAUGCUGUUGUGGAAGAACUGACUGGAUUAGGUGCAAGAAUACAUACAUGUUCUCGAACAGAAACUGGGCUUAAUGAAUACUUAAGGGAUUGGGAGGGUAAAGGUUUUGAAGUCACUGGCUCAGUCUGUGAUGUAUCCUCUAGGGCCCAAAGAGAGAAGCUAAUGGAGACAGUAUCUUCUAAGUUUAAUGGGAAGCUGAAUAUCCUUGUUAGUUCCUCUAGUUUGUUAAAUGUGACCCAUCCAUUUUAGAAUCAUUUUCACUAAAUAUAAUUGAUGAGUUACCCUAACUGAAUCUUUGAAUUUAGAUCAACAACGCUGGAACUGGCAAACCGGGACGGACAGUGGAGUUCGCAGCUGAAGAGUUCUCAACGGUCAUGGCUGUAAAUUUUGAAUCUGUGUAUCAUCUAUGCCAACUUGCGCAUCCCCUUCUGAAGGCCUCAGGAGCGGGAAGUAUUGUGCUCAUGUCUUGUGUUUCAGGUGUAGUAUCACUCAAGUAUCUAUCUGCCUAUGGAGCAACCAAAGGUACUUCAUGCCACCAUCGGGUUUAUGUUGCAGGUCCUGUGUUGUUGGACAAGAUGAUAGAUAUUUACCUUUAAAAUUUUUCUUUCGGGGGCACUGAAUCAGCUUGCAAAGAACUUGGCAUGCGAGUGGGCGCAAGACAAUAUCAGGACAAACUCUGUUGCCCCUCGGUACAUCAAAACUUCUCUGGUAGAACCUGUGAGUUUAAUUCCCUUCACCUCAUUUAAAAGUUGCUGUUGUUUUCAUUGGGAAAACUGAUUAAUAAACCAAUCUUCUGUUUUGUUUUCUUUUAUUUUUUUGGUUGUAUCAUUUUGGUUUCAGUUUCUUAGUGAGAAAAGCUUUACGGAAGAGGUAAUAAGAAGAACUCCGCUUGGUCGAGUGGGGGAUCCAAAGGAGGUGUCAUCCUUGGUAGCAUUCCUCUGCCUACCAGUAUCAUCUUACAUUACUGGCCAGACCAUUUGUGCUGAUGGUGGGAUGAAUGUUAAUGGUUUCGAUCCGAGUCAAUGCUAGAAACAACUAGCAUUUAUAUAAUUGUUGUUUUCUCAUAUUUUUCAUACUCACUCUAAUAUUCUUCAUUAUCAUAUUUAUAUAUAUAUAUAUAUAUAGAUAUAUAUAUAUAUUUAUGUAGGUGUACGUGCACACGUGUGUUCAUGUGCGGAUCAUGGACAUUUUUUUUGUAUUCUGUCAUAUUCUUCUUACACUCUCAAAAUAUUCAUAUAUUUUUUACAAUCUUCAUGCAUUUUUUUUUUUUAAUUCUUGAUAUUCUCUCAUAUUCUUUGUAUAAUUUAUAUUGGAAAAAUGAAUAAAAAAAAUAUGGUUUAAAAUUGAUAAAAUAAGAAUAAAAGAUAUAAAAAUAAAAUAAAAUGAUAGAAAAAUAUCAAUAUUAGAGGAAGAUAUACUUGGAUAAUUAGACGCUAAAACCUUGAAGAUGCAAACAUAGUAUGUGGCUAUUUAAUGAGGAACUUAAGGAAUUUGUUCAAUAAUAGUAGCUACCAUGGGAUUAAAGGAUAGUGUAAACGAGUCCGAGGGAGAAACAAUUUUAAUAAAAAAUUAAUUAAAAAUUUAUAUAUUUGUAAUAAAAAUUUGAAAUAAGUUAAAUUAAUUUAAAAUGAUAUAUAAAAAUGAUUUACUGCUUUAAAUCUAUUUUUAUUUUUUAUUUUUUUUUCAUUUCUUUUUUACUUUUUCUUUAUAUAUAUAUAUAUAUAUAUAUAGAUAUAGAUAUAGAUAUAUAUAUUAUAUAUUUUUUUGAGAACCAGCCAGCUUUGGUUUCAAAGACCCUACAUUUACCCACCAUCCUUGUCAAAUAAUUAUGAGGAGCUCAUGCUUACAUGUGGAGAUUGAAAAAAAAUAAUGAUUGAAUUCCACCAAAUGAAUUAAUUUUGUUUGGCAAUUUCAUUUGAAAAUCAACAAAGAAUGAUGUGAUGUGUGAAUCUUUUUCCAUAUAUCAGCGCACAUAUUCAAAUUCAUCCCUUUCCAUUAAUCUGAUAGCGAUUAUGAGGUUGCGUAGAUGCUACGACGACGACCAAAUGUGAUGAAGAUUUCAGGAAGUGUUGGAGUGCGCAUGCUUGAGGACCAAAACUGUGAACUUGAAAUGACUAUUGAAUGCUACCAUAUGAAAUUCGGCCUGAAUCUUUUUCCAAUUCAAAUGCAGGCAGUUCCAUUAAUUUGAUAGAUAUUAUGAGGUUGCCUAUCAUGCUAAGAUAACCAAAUCCGAUGAGAAGUUCAAGAAGUGUUUUGAGUGUGUUUUAGUACUGACACCAUGAAUUCAAAAACAAAUAUAACAUAGAAACACAAAUCAAAACCCAUCACAUGAUGAUAUAGUCGAUAGGAAAUUUGCUUUCUUAAACCAUGCCACGUCCCAUGAAAAAGAAAAUUAAGAAAAUUACAAAUUUUACUUCGAUGGGCUCACAUGCUAUGUGAACCGUCCACUUAAUCGAGGUUAAGAUUAUCUUCAUUUACUUAGAAGAUAAUAAUGAAUUUUUCAAGUAAAAUUUUUUGAGAACCAGACAGCUUUGGUUUCAAAGACCCUACAUUUACCCAUCAUCCUUGUUAAAUAAUUAUGAGGAAGUCAUACUUACACGUGGAGAUUGAAAAAAAUAAUGAAUGAAUUCCACCAAACGAAUUAAUUUUGUUUGGCAAUUUCAUUUGAAAAUCAACAAAGAAUGAUGUGAGGUGUGAAUCUUUUUCCAUAUAUCAGCGCACAUAUUCAAAUUCAGCCCUUUCCAUUAAUUUGAUAGCGAUUAUGAGGUUGCGUAGAUGCUACGACGACGACCAAAUGUGAUGAAGAUUUCAGGAAGUGUUGGAGUGCGCAUGUUUGAGGACGAAAACUGUGAACUUGAAAUGACUUAGAAGAUUAAUUUAAGUUUUCAAAUACAUAAAAUAUAAUUAAUAACAUAACUUAAUACAAUAAGUUAAGGCUUCCUAAAGUCUUAAAAUAAAUAACUUUUUCCCAACCUGAAAUAUCCUUUGCCUUGGUAAUAUUCAUGUUCUUCAAGAUCAAAAUUAGUUUGUUUGAUAUAUAAUUCAAAUUAAAAGAUGGAGGGUGUGUCGGUCCUUUCUAAAUUCAAAAUUGCAUCAUCAAUCAAUCGGAUAAGGUUGUGUCCGACGGAUGAAAAUGUAAUAUUAGUUUGGACAAUGUGCCAUGGAAAGAAGAUAGAUAGAUUAAGUUCUACAUAUUCAUAUCAGUUGUCUCAGCUUUCACGGCAGACAUUUUCGACGCAAGAGACUGUCUCUUGCGGUGAGUAUUAACCACACUUCUAAACUUGGAUGUUCGAGAAGACAACUGGGAUUGAUCAGUUUUGUCUCUUUUAUUUUCAGCUUCCUAGAAUCUCUUUUUUUUUUUUUUCUCAAGGUUAAUGUCAUUUUCUAUGUUGUGGUAGAGUAGAGAAGAGCUCAGAAGGCAUGGCACAGACUGGCUGCAGCAAUGGAGAUAAUAGAUGGUCUCUCAAGGGAAUGACGGCCCUUGUAACGGGUGGAACUAGAGGAAUCGGGUCCGUGUUACCUGUUUUUCUGUUCUGGAAUGAACUUAAUUUGAUCUGUCUCUGCCAAUUAUCACCUUGUUUUUAUAUCAAUUCUGUAGGCAUGCUGUUGUGGAAGAACUGACUGGAUUAGGUGCAAGAAUACAUACAUGUUCUCGAACAGAAACUGAGCUUAAUGAAUAUUUAAGGGAUUGGGAGGGUAAAGGUUUUGAAGUCACUGGCUCAGUCUGUGAUGUAUCCUCUAGGGCCCAAAGAGAGAAGCUAAUGGAGACAGUAUCUUCUAAGUUUAAUGGGAAGCUGAAUAUCCUUGUUAGUUAACCUCUAGUUUGUUAAAUGUGGCCCAUCCAUUUUAGAAUCAUUUUCAUUAAAUAUAAUUGAUGAGUUACCCUAACCGAAUCUUUGAAUUUAGAUCAACAACGCUGGAACUGGCAAACCGGGACGGACGGUGGAGUUCACAGCUGAAGAGUUCUCAAGUAUCAUGGCUGUAAAUUUUGAAUUUGUCUACCAUCUAUGCCAACUUGCUCAUCCCCUUUUGAAGGCAUCAGGAGCGGGAAGUAUUGUGCUCAUGUCUUCUGUUGCAGGUGUAGUAUCACUCAAGUAUUUAUCUGCCUAUGGUGCAACCAAAGGUACUUCAUUCUACCAUAGGGUUUAUGUUGCAGGUCCUGAGUUGUUGGACAAGAUGAUAGAUAUUUACCUUGAUAAUUUUGCUUCAGGGGCACUGAAUCAGCUUGCGAAGAGCUUGGCAUGCGAGUGGGCGCAAGACAAUAUCAGGGCUAACUCUAUUGCUCCUUGGUUCAUCAAAACUUCUCUGGUAGAACCUGUGAGUACCCUUCACCUCAUUUGAAGUUGCUGUUGUUUUCAUUGGGAAAACUGAUUAAUAAACUAAUCUUCUGUUUUGUUUUCUUUUAUUUUUUUGGUUGUAUCAUUUUGGUUUCAGUUUCUUAGUAAGAAAAGCUUUACGGAAGAGGUAAUAAGAAGAACUCCGCUUGGUCGAGUGGGGGAUCCAAAGGAGGUGUCAUCCUUGGUAGCAUUCCUCUGCCUACCAGCAUCAUCUUACAUUACUGGCCAGACCAUUUGUGUUGAUGGUGGGAUGAGUAUUAAUUGUUUCGAUCCAAGUCAAUGCUAGAAACACCUAGCAUUUAUAUUAAUAUAUGUUGUUUUCUCAAAACCGCUUCUGUUUUUGGGAUUAUUUGCUCGUGAUAGUGACCUUGUGGUCCUAGGAUUAAUGCAUGGUUACCAAAUAUUAAGUCUAUGCUUCCAAUAAAUAUUAAAAAAUUUCUUAUUAUUCAAUCACGGAUUUCUACCUUCUUCUCCGGUCAUAGAUACUGUUUAGGUCUCCGGUGCAUUCCCCGCUCACCCACCUACAUCUGAUUGGUUGCAACGUUCAAUCACGGAUUUCUUAUUAUUCAUAUAUCUUUUAGUACAUUUUUUCAAAUUCUUGAUAUUUAUUCGUAUUAUUUGUAUAAUUUAUAUAAGAAAAAAUGAUUUAAAAUAAAAAUAUAUGGUUUAAAAUUGAUAAAAUAUCAUGAAUAACGUUUUACAAUCCAUAAGAUACAAAAAUAAAACAAACUGAUAGAAAAAUAUCGACAUUGGUUAAAAAUAAUUAAGUUAAUCGCGAGUAUAACUAAAUCAUCUCAACUUGAUGAAUGAUAAAUUCAUUUAUAAAAAAAUUUAAAAUAAAAAACCUAUUAAUUAUUGAAAAUUCAAAUAUGAUUUGAUAUAAAUGUUUUGUUAUGAAAUUUACAUUUGUAUGAAAAAAUAGUAAACUUUUCUUAAGGUUCGUAGUCCCCUGGAAACAUUUUUUAGUAUUUUUUUCGAGAGGUACAAAUUUCUUGCUUACUUUAAUAUAUUUAAGACACAAAAUUUGACAUAUAUAUUUGAUCCAUCAAUCAAAACUCCCAUCCCACACACAUUUUGUAAAGUUAGAGCCAUUAGUUUUUAUAUUCAAUUUUUACCUCUUUUUUUGCAUAUUUUAAUAAGAAUAAAUUAGAUGUUGUAAUUUCUUAUUUUAAAUAAGAGUAUGAUACCACAUUAAACGAUAAAAUAAAAAUUGUAUAUAUGUGAAAUAUAUGUCAUUAUUCAUCUUGAUAUGUAUUAUACUGUUUACCUCUUCAACAAGUUUUGUAAAAUUUUUUGUUUUGUAGUAAGUAAAGUGUGGAGAGUUACCCUCAAAGACAUGGGAUUUAAAAGAAAUAAGAAAAAGAGAAAAAUGUCAAAUAUUUCUUAUUAUAAUCACUUGAAAAAUAAGUCCAAUACACGUGGAGUUGAAAUAGGUUUACAAUCAAAGGAAGUAAAAGAAAAAAAGAUAAACUAAUCUUUCCUUGCUCCAAAAAAGAAAGAUAAUAAUGUUGAUGUGGUAAAUAAAUUAAUAAUUUUAACAUCUCCCCACAAACUCAUAAAACUCAUAAUGCGGUUGUAAGAAGUAGUGAGAGCUUAAAUAAAUUAACUUACAAUAAAAUGAAGUAAAAGAAAAAAAUUAAUUUACCCUUACUCGAUAAAUCUUUAGUAUAUUAUUAUUAUUAUUAUUAUUAUUAUUAUUAUUAUAUCUCAAAGUCAAGAUUAUGAACAUGAAAAUUAAACAUAUCGCGCUUCAAUCUUGACAAGACUAAUAUAAAGUGAGGUUUUCCCCUUCUUAUUAUUAAUAUUAUUAUUAUCACUACUACGAUAUCUUUGUUUACACUAAAAUCUUUUCUUUAAUGCCCUCAAAGUCAAGAUUACGAACAUAAAAAGCAUGUCACACUUCAAUGUUCACAAGACUAAUACAAAAUGAGGUUUCCUCCUAAAUUUAUUAUUACCAUUACAUAUCUUUGUUUACACUAAAAUCCUAUCUUUAAUACCCUAAAAGUCAACAUUAGGAACAUGAGAAACAUUUCACUAUUUAAUGUUGACAUGACUAAUACAAAGUGAGGUUUCCCUAAAUUUAUUAUUAUUAUUACAUAUCUUUGUUUUCACUAAAAUCUUAUCUUUAAUACCCUAAAAGUCAAUAUUAGGAACAUGAGAAACAUUUCACAAUUUAAUGUUGACAAGACUAAUACAAAGUGAGGUUUUCCCCUAAAUUUAUUAUUAUUAUUACAUAUCUUUGUUUCCAUUAAAAUCUUAUAUUUAAUACCCUAAAAGUCAAUAUUAGGAACAUGAAAAGUAUAUCACACUUCAAUGUUGACAAGACAUUAUACAAAGUGAAGUAUUAUUUCCAUAAUAUCUUUGCUUACACUAAAAUCUCAUCUUUAAUAUCCUUGAAGUUAAGAUUAUGAGCAUGAAAAAUAUGGCAUACUUCAAUGUUGACAAGAUUAAUACAAAGUGAGGUUUCUUCGUCAAUUUAUUAUUAUUACUACAAUAUCUUCCUACACUAAAAUCUCAUCUUUAAUAGCUCAAAGUUAAUAUUACAAGCAUGAAAGUUCAACAUGCCAUCCUCCAAUCUUAACAAGGCUAAUACAAAUUGUGAUUUCCCUAAUUUUUUUUCCAUUGUCUUUCUUUUUCUUGUACCUGUUGUGAUCGAUUUAGGUCACAAGCCAAAUAAUUGCAAGAAAAUGAACUCACACGUGAAAAUUGAGAAGGAUGAAAUAUUCUCUAACAUUGCACACUCUUAGAAGAAAAAUCAUUUGGUUGACAAUUUUAUUUGAGACUAACAAAUUGACGGAAGGACAUGAUGUGAGGCCAGCUUGUAUAUGCUUUUAUUCAAAUCUAGCCACAUGAUGAAUCCUACAAACUCCUUUCCCAUUUUUUUAUUGCAAUGUUUUAAAUGAUGCCACGUACCUAAAUUCUUGAAAUUUUGAGUCAGUUAAAGACAUGUCUGGAUGGCAUGGAGGAGAGUUAGGGGGCUAUUCGGCUUGUACCCCUUCAAAUUCAGCCUGCUCCAUUAAUUUGAUAGCUAUCGUGAGGUUGCCUAUGAUGCUAAGAUAACCAAAUGUGAUGAGGAUUUCAAAAAGUAUUCGAGUGUACUUCAGUACCAAAUCUGUGAAAUGAUUAUUGAAUGCUACCUAAUUUUGUUUGAAAUUUUCAUUUGAAAUUAAAUAAAUAAAUAUGUGAGGCCUAAAUCUUUUUCCAUCAUAUUGUACUCAUGUUCAAAGUCUGCCACUUCCAUUCAUUUGACAGCUAUAAUGAGGUUGUCUAUGAUGCUAAAAAUGACCAAACGUGAUGAUGAUUUCAAGAAGUAUUCCAGUAUAUUUUAAUUGGCAAUGUUUUAAAGAUAGGUAUCAUUCAUCCUAAAAAUUCAUCCAUUCAUGUUCAUUGCAUGGUCGAAAUGUUAUUAAACAACUAACAUUAUAAAUAUAUAAUUUAUAUUUUAUUAAAAUUAAAAAUAAUUUUUAAAAACUAAUAUGUAUAUAUAUAUAAUUAAAAACCAAUUAUAUUUAUUUUUUAAUCUUUUAUAUAAAUGUACUAAUAAUUAAAAUUUUAUUAAAUAAAAUAUGUAAAAUUUGAAAAUUGAAUAAAAUUUGCAUUAUAUAUAUAUAAAAGUUUAAAAGAUACUAGAUUAUUUUAUUCAUAUUGAAUUUCUGAAAUAAUAUACAUAUUUUUUUCUUUAGUUUCACAAACAUUAACAUUUGGAUAAGUAGCUGAGUAGUUGUUCCUGAAAAUGCUCAAGCACAUAUUAGCAAGAAUGAAGAAUUUGUUUCUAUUCUUUCAUAUUUUACAGUAGACCAAUGGCUAUAUAUAUAUAUUACAAUGUAACUAAUCUAACCAUCUAUUGAACUACCUAACCAUCUUCUAACUAAUCAUAACAACAUCUGUUAGAGAGGAGAAGAAUCAGCUGCUGGUGCGGGUGCUUGUCUAUCAUCCCCCCGCAAGCUGACAGGUCUUGGGACAAUAGAGAAAUGAGUACGAGCGGCUGAGAACUAACAGCUUGGAACAUAUUUAGUAAAGACAUCUGCCAACUGGUCGGUAGAAGGAACAUAUUGAAUUAAAAGCUCUUUGCGAAUGACCUUAUCACGGACAAAGUGAAGAUCAAUCUCUAUGUGCUUGGAACGGGCAUGGAAGACAGAGUUAGCUGCAAGAGGAGCAGCACUGAUAUUGUCACACCAGAUCAAAGGAGUGUUCGGUUGAGGAAUGCACAACUCUUUGAUCAGAAACUGAACCCAGGAGACCUCAACAGCGAGAAAAGCAAGUGCCCGGUACUCCGAUUUUGCACUACUACGAGAGACGACACGUUGCUUGGUAGAGGACCAUGAGAUGAGAUUGGUGCAAAAAAAAAAGACAAAAGCCACUAGUGCUUCUUCUAUCAUCGAGACAUGAAGCCCAAUCCGCAUCGGUAUAGCCUUGAAGAGACCAAGAUGGUGAGGCAUGGAUAGAAAGACCAUGAGUAGCAGUACCUUUGAGAUAGCGAAGUAUGUGUUUAGCAGCUUGCAGAUGAGAAGUGAUAGGAUGAGCCAUGUAUUUACAAGCUUGAUUUACUGCAAAUGAGAUUUUUGGUCUUGUGAGAGUGAUGUACUGAAGAGCACCCACAAGACUGUGAUAGUGAGUAGCAUCAAGAGCAGAUAAAGGUUCUCCAUCUGCUGCUGAUAACAAUUUUCCCAAAGCACCAAGUGUGCUAGCAGAUUUGGCCCCAAGAAGAUCAGCACGCUCAAGUAGCUGAUGUAUGUAGCGUUGUUGAUUGAGAUGAAGAACAUGAGGAAGCCGGGUGACUUCAAUGCCAAGGAAGUAGCUAAUAUCUCCAAGGUCUUGAAGAGCAAAAUGGGAGCUAAGCUGAGAAAUGAUAUGAUGGACCUGUGGUGGAUUGUUGCCAGUAAUGAGAAUAUCAUCCACAUAGAUUGAGAUGAUGAUAAUAUCAGAUGCAGAGUGGAAAUAAAAUAAAGAUGCAUCAGCCCUUGAGCAUUGGAAUCCCAAUUGUAAGAGAAAGGAGCUGAGCUUGUGGAACCAGGCUCGAGGCGCUUGUUUAAGGCCAUAGAGAGCCUUCUGUAGACGACAAACAUGAGUGGGGCAAGAGCUAUCUUCAAAGCCUAGAGGUUGCAUCAUGAACACCUGUUCUUAAAGAUCUCCAUUUAAAAAAGCAUUGUGGACAUCUAGUUGUUUAAUAGGCCAGUUGGAAGAGACAACAAUGGAGAGAACAAGCCUGAUAGUGCAAGGCUUCACAACUGGACUAAAUGUCUCAAAAAAAUCAAUGCCAUAGGUUUGAUGAAAACCUUGGGCAACCAGCUGAGCUUUGUACCUGUCAAUGCUGCCAUCAGGUUUAUGUUUGAGUUUGAAGACCCAUUUACACCCAAUAAUUUUGGCAUUAGAUGGAGGUGGCACCAAAGACCAAGUUUGAUUCUUCAAUAGAGCUUGAUAUUCUUGUUCCAUAGCAAGCUUCCAAUUAGGGUCUUGAAAAACCUGUUUGACAGUACGUGGCUCAGCUAUGAGUGAGGUAAGAUAGGUCUUCUUCUUAUAGAUACCAAAUUUGGAUCUGGUAAUCAUAGGAUGACUAGGAAUUGGAGCUAUGGAAUCCUGGAGGGAAGCAGUAGAAAUCUCAGCUGCUUCAUCCACAAAUGGCACCUGAAUGAGCGGGGGUAAAGACAAAAAGCUGGCUAGAGGUGAUGUGGGGGCAAGUUCGGAUGGGAUAGCCGGAGAAGAGCUGGUUGUGGAGGGGAAAAGAACAGAAGAUGGAGGAAAAAGAAAUGCUGGAGUGACAGGAAAAUGAGAUGAUUGGUGGGAAGGAGAAGUCAAUGCUUGAAAUGGAAAUGUAGUCUCUACAAAGACUACAUGCCUAGAGAUAUAUACUCUGCCAGUUGUAAGAUUAAGGCAAAAAUAACCCUUGUGAAAUGUUGCAUAACCAAGAAAGAUACAGGGUAUGGACUAUGGCUGAAAUUUGUUGGAGUUGAGAUGUCUGAGGUGUGGAUAACAAAGACAACCAAAGACUUUGAAAUGGAAAUAAUCAGGUGGGUGUUUGUAAAGAAGAGAAAAUGGGGAGCUGUAAUUGAGCAAAGGAGAAGGCAUGCAAUUGAUAAGGGUAAUUGUUGUAGUGAAAGCAUAGGACCAAAAUUUGGAUGGCAGGGCAGUUGUGUAAAGAAGAGUGAGCCCGAUUUCUACAACAUGGCGCAUUUUGCGUUCAACCCGACCAUUUUGUUCAGGUGUAUAAGGGCAAGAAAAUCUAUGGAGUAUACCAUGAAGAGAUAGAAACCGGAGGGUAGUGAACUUUCCACCAUGGUCUGUUUGAAGGCAUUUAAUGGUGGUCUGAAAUUGGUUUUCAACAAGAGUUUUAAAUUGAACAAAAGUGGAGUAAACCUGGUCCUUGGUGAGGAGUAAAUAUAUCCAUACAAACCUAGAGUAAUCAUCCAUGAGCAACAAAAAAUACCAGGCACCUGCGGAGGAAGGAACAGGUGUUGGUCCCCACAAGUUUGCAUGGAUGAGUUCAAGAGGAGAGGAGGCCCGGGAAGUGGACAAAGAAAAAGGAAUUUUGUGACUUUUGGCAUAACAACAAGCAUUGCAAACAUCAAUUGUUUUAUUUGAGUUAUAUGAAAUAUUACAUGUAUGAAAAAUUUUCUGAAGUAUUAUAGCAGAAGGGUGGCCAACUCGUUGAUGCCACAACAUAGUAGUGGGCUGAGUUUUUGUGAGAAACACUUGAUGUUUAGAAUUGGCAGUAGGUGAGUUGAUAGAUGAGGUAGGAAAUUUGUAGAGUCCACGUUCAAGUUGGCCUUGGAGAAGAGUCACUUUGGUAUCCUUGUCCUUGACAAAAAAUGAAAAAGGAUGAAAUUCAAGAAUGGUAUUAUUAUCAGUACAGAAUUUUGACACACUGAUGAGAUUUGAAGUGAGUUGUGGAACAUGAAGCACAUUGUGUAAAACAAAGGGUUUAGCAGAAAUGUGGAGAAAGGAAUGACCAACUUGGGUUAUGGGUAGGGACUUACCAUUGCCAACCAUCACAGAGUCAGUACCAUUGUAUGAAGUACCAUUGUGGAUAUUAGCAACUGUGUGGGAGAGAUGGUGGGUGGCGCUUGAAUCCAAAAACCAGGAGUCCGUUGAUGCUGGGGAAGGUGCUGCCAUCAUGGCUUGAGCAGGAGGAGUGGGACCAGUUUGAGAGGUUGAUGAGGCUGGUGCAUGUGGCCCUUGAUAAUUCACAUCAAAUCUGUGAUAACAAGAGAGGACCAUGUGCCCAAACUUGCCACAUAACUGACACUGUGGUUGGUUAUUUGUCCGGGAUCGAUUAUUGUUGAAUCGGUUAGGGCGAUAUCCUUGAGGAUGUUGCUGUCGUGAAUUUGGAAGAGUGUCAGGUCGUGGGGUUGGCAUGAAUGACUGAGGUGGUUUCCCUUGAGAGGGUUUGAUGGACUGUGACCUUCGUGGUCUGUUAUGAGUUGCAAUAUUGGCAAUGAGGAGGUCUUCUUCAGCAGUUGUGGUUUGAAGAUGCAGCCUCUAUUCAUGAGUCAGAAGGAUGCUAUGUACCGCAUGAAGUUGAAGGUCAUCAUCUCUAGCUGUGAGAGAAGCCAUGAUGGGGUUGUAUUCAACCCCUAGUCCACUUAGUAAUUGAAGAAUUUGAUCCUUUUCUGGCACUGGUUCUCCAAUAGCUGCUAGACUAUCAGAGAUGUGUUUGAGUUUUUGGAUGUAUUCCAUCAUGGUAAGAGGGCCUUUUUUGGUUGUUUGAAAAGCAAGUCUCAGCUGCAUUGUUCUUGCUUUGGUGGAAGCAGAGAAGCUUCAUUGGAGGGUUGUCCAUGCUUCAUGGGAUGUUCGUAGCCCAACAAUUUGGCCCAUAACAUCUGGAGUGAGAGAGGAGUAGAUCCAACUCAGGAUCAUACGAUCAUAUCUCCUCCAAACCAGAAAAUCUGGGUUCACUUCUCCGGUGGAUAUUAUUUUUGGAGGACAUGGUCUCAGACCUUCAAUAUAGUCCUCAAAUCCAUUGGCAUAUAUCACAUUUUCCAUUUGUGUAUGCCAAAGGAUAUAGUUAUCUCUAUCUAGUUUGAUAGGAAGAGGAUGGUUCAGCAUGCUCAUGUUCAGGGUAGAGGUUACCUGAGAAGAGACAAUCUCCGGCGUGGUUUGUGUUGAUGAAGCCAUCGGAAACUAGGUACAGUAUGUUCUUGAAGCUUUCUUGAGGUGAGUAAGAAAAGCAAAAGGUAAUCUGCAGAUGAUGUAUAUCAGAAGAAAGUUGCAGUAGAAAGAGUUGUUGGAGAUUUCUUUAUUGUCUUGCUGGGGAGAGAAAUCAAAAAACGAAAAUUCAUGAGCCUAUGGCUCUGAUACCAUGAAAAUGCUCAAGCACAGAUUAGCAAGAAUGAAGAAUCUGUUUCUAUUCUUUCUUAUUUUACAGUAGACCAAUGGCUAUAUAUAAAUAUUACAGUGUAACUAAUCUAACCAUCUAAUCAUCUAUUGAACCACCUAACCAUCUUCUAACUAAUCAUAACAGCAUCUGUUAGAGAGGAGAAGAAUCAGUUGCUGGUGCGGGUGCUUGUCUAUCAGUUCCAAGUUACCUUAAACCUUGAAAGGAUCAAGUCCUUUUGAUUUUGUUUAAAUAAGCUACUAAGCUACUGCUCACUCCACAUUGGAAAUUCAAGGGGAUGAAAAAAGGUUUAUAAAUCUCAUUCAUCUCCAACAGGUCACAUGGCCUUUAGGCCGUGGGAGGCAAUGCGGUGAGUGGGUCGUGUGCUCUAAAUGGAGGCCUAUUUUUGCAACAAAAGAAAGACCGAAACCAAACCAAGCAUGAACCAAAUCGGAUCAAGAUCCAGUCGACGGUCUGACUAGUUCAGUAGGAAUUUUUCAUAAUAUGGUUUAAUGGCAUGUAGAUAUUCUUUAGUCAAAGUUUUAAUAAGCCCAUCAAAAGUUGUAAUAUUUUAUGUUAUAAGUUAAUAGAGAAUAUUUUUUACUUUAAAUUUUUGUUGGUAUUUUCCCAUAAUCUAUAGUUAUUAAGGCAUUGAUAUUUUCUCAAAUUAUAGAAUUAAGUUCUAAAACAACAUUUAUUUUGACAUAGAUGAACAUUUGAAAGAUUAUAAUUUAUCUUUAACUUAUUUUUCUUUAUAACCAAAAUCUUUUCUCUCGAUUUUUCAUAAUAUUUGAUUAUGAUUAAUUAUUCAUGCAUACAAUCUAGGUCUGAAUCUAUUAUCUUCAACACUUAUUUUUAUUUUUUUAUGUCAUGUUUGAAAAUUUACUUUAGAUAGUAAGUCAAUAAAUGUUUCUAAAGGUAAAUGAGUGUUUGGUAUUAUGAUUCUUAGAUCUUGACUAGUAAGGGAUUCUUUAUAAUUUGUUCAUUUUAUUACUUGAGCUAAUUUAAUUCUCUAUUUAUUAAUUUCUUAUAUUUCAUCAUGUAAAUUUUGAAUAGUUAUAAGUUUGUGAAUAGUUUUGAAUCUAUUAAAUAUUUCAUCUAUAAUAUUGAUUAGAUUUGGGUUCUUGAAGUCUACUUAUCUCUUUAAUUUGUAAGAAUUAAAUCUUUUAAAUAUAACAAAUAUUGAAUUUUUAUGUUGAAUCCUCUAUUUUAUGACAUCAAAAAAUAUUUAUUUAUUUACUUUUGAAUAAAUCAUAUUUAUUAUUUUAUAUGAACAAACAUACUCACUUUCACAUUCAUUUUCAUCAUUAGAGUCUUCUAGACUAAUUAUAUUGGUUUAAUGUGUCUAGUAUUUGUGAUAAAUUUCAUAAAAAUAUUCAAGUGUAAAUAUUAAACUACAUAGUAUACUGUCACAUAUGACACAUUUCAAAUAGUAAAGACUAAAACCAUAAUUAAAGAUAACUUAGGUUUUAUUUUUUUUGUCAAAAAUAUUAUAAUUUUAAUUAAUUGAAUUAUUAAUUUUUCAAAAAUUUAGAAAAAAUAAAAAAUAGUAUUUUAAAAUUUGGCUCUCUUGAAAAUCAUGAGAGGAUAAAAAUUGGUAAAAAAAUAAAUAAAUUUAGAAAAGGUUAUUGAGAUUAAUUAAGUACAUCCUUGCCAUGAUAUUUAAUAUUUUUUUUAUGUUUUAUAAAUAGGGUAAAUGGACAUCGUUCUAAAUACAGGAAGAUGAUAUUAUUAUAUAUAAAAAAAAUGUAAAAAUAGUGAGUAAUAUUAUUAAAAAUAUCUCAUGGAAUGGGGCAAGAUAAAGGGCCAAAAAAAAAAAAAUUAGAGAAGAAAGAAGAAAAAGAAGAGUGUUGUAAGCACAGGAAGUCAAAAGUACUGUAUAAGCGUGAUUCAUCCCUGUUUCCUACUUCGAUUAUAAAGUAUGGACAGAGAUACAGAAAAAAAAAAAGAGAAGAAGCAGCAUUCAGCUUUCACCAGUGCAGAGUGGUAUGGUGGUGUAGCAUAUGUUUGGUUGUUAUUCUUGCUCCAAACAAGUGUGAGCUGAUCCAUUUCUAUACUCAUUUUUGUUAUCUCAGUCGACUGAUUCGUUUAGUGGGCCUGGUGUUAGCCAAAAGCUAGCCACCAAUUUUCUUUGCUUUAUCCCAUUACAUUAGAAUAAAAAGAAAAUGGAGGUUUGAGAGGGCCAUUGGGACCAUUGGGACCAUUAUCAGUUGUCUUUUGUUUUCAAGUUGUAAGAAGUCCUGUCAAGGUUUAUGUCAUUUGCUAUGUUGUUUCUGUUCCAUUUUCAGUUCAAAGAGUGGUAGAGUAGAGAAGGAGGCAUGGCUCAGACAUUUGGGUGCAGCUCUGGAGAUAGUAGAUGGUCUCUCAAGGGAAUGACUGCUCUUGUAACUGGUGGAACUAAAGGAAUUGGGUUGGUGUUACCUGUUUUUAUGUCUUUGGGUUUGGACUAUACCUUCCUAUAUAUAAACGUAUGUAUCAAUUCUGCAGGCAUGCAAUUGUGGAGGAACUGGCUGGAUUAGGAGCAACCAUACACACGUGUUCUCGAAAAGAAACUGAGCUCAAU